Molecule: ribosomal RNA, 530 nt
Filed under: Streptomyces angustmyceticus
Lineage: Bacteria; Bacillati; Actinomycetota; Actinomycetes; Kitasatosporales; Streptomycetaceae
Description: bacterial SSU rRNA
Rfam family: Bacterial small subunit ribosomal RNA
Source: RNAcentral
GAACGCUGGCGGCGUGCUUAACACAUGCAAGUCGAACGAUGAACCUCCUUCGGGAGGGGAUUAGUGGCGAACGGGUGAGUAACACGUGGGCAAUCUGCCCUUCACUCUGGGACAAGCCCUGGAAACGGGGUCUAAUACCGGAUACGACCUCCGACCGCAUGGUCUGGUGGUGGAAAGCUCCGGCGGUGAAGGAUGAGCCCGCGGCCUAUCAGCUUGUUGGUGGGGUGAUGGCCUACCAAGGCGACGACGGGUAGCCGGCCUGAGAGGGCGACCGGCCACACUGGGACUGAGACACGGCCCAGACUCCUACGGGAGGCAGCAGUGGGGAAUAUUGCACAAUGGGCGAAAGCCUGAUGCAGCGACGCCGCGUGAGGGAUGACGGCCUUCGGGUUGUAAACCUCUUUCAGCAGGGAAGAAGCGAGAGUGACGGUACCUGCAGAAGAAGCGCCGGCUAACUACGUGCCAGCAGCCGCGGUAAUACGUAGGGCGCAAGCGUUGUCCGGAAUUAUUGGGCGUAAAGAGCUCGUAGG